RNAcentral lists this ribosomal RNA (1719 nucleotides) under Listeria monocytogenes. RNAcentral's name for it is "bacterial SSU rRNA". It matches the Rfam family "Bacterial small subunit ribosomal RNA". Lineage: Bacteria; Bacillati; Bacillota; Bacilli; Caryophanales; Listeriaceae. The record is from RNAcentral.
UAUUUUAAAGAGAGUUUGAUCCUGGCUCAGGACGAACGCUGGCGGCGUGCCUAAUACAUGCAAGUCGAACGAACGGAGGAAGAGCUUGCUCUUCCAAAGUUAGUGGCGGACGGGUGAGUAACACGUGGGCAACCUGCCUGUAAGUUGGGGAUAACUCCGGGAAACCGGGGCUAAUACCGAAUGAUAAAGUGUGGCGAAUGCCACGCUUUUGAAAGAUGGUUUCGGCUAUCGCUUACAGAUGGGCCCGCGGUGCAUUAGCUAGUUGGUAGGGUAAUGGCCUACCAAGGCAACGAUGCAUAGCCGACCUGAGAGGGUGAUCGGCCACACUGGGACUGAGACACGGCCCAGACUCCUACGGGAGGCAGCAGUAGGGAAUCUUCCGCAAUGGACGAAAGUCUGACGGAGCAACGCCGCGUGUAUGAAAGGAAGGUUUCUCGGAUCGUAAAGUACUUGUUGUUACCGACAGAAGAACAAAGGAUUAAGAGUAACUGCUUGUCCCUUGACCGGUAUCCUAAACAAGAAAAGCCACCGGGCUAACUACAGUGCCAGCCAGGCCGCGGGAAUACGUAAGCGGUGGCCAGGCGGUCUGUCCCGGAUUUAUUGGGCGUAAAGCGCGCCCGCAGGCGGUCCUUUUAAGUCCUGAUGUGAAAGCCCCCCCGGGCUUAACCGGGGGAGGAGUCAUUUGGAAACUGGAAGACUUGGAGUGGGCAGAAGAGGAGAAGUGGAAUUCCACCGUGUAGCGGGAAAUGCGUAGAUAUGUGAGGAACCACCAGGUGGGCCGAAGGCCGAACUCUCUGGUUCUGUAAACUGGACGCUGGAGGCGCGAAAAGCGCGGUGGGGAGGCAAAACAGGCAUUUAGAUACGCCUGGGGUAGUUCCCACGGCCGUAAAACGAUGAGUGCUAAGUUGGUUAGGGGGUUUCCCGCCCCUUAGUUGCUGCCAGCUAACGCAAUUAAAGCCACGUCCGGACUGGGAAGUACGACCGGCAAGUUUGAAACUCAAAGGAAUUGACGGGGGCCCGCACAAGGCGGUGGGAGGCAUGUGGGUUUAAUUCGAAGCAAACGCGCAAGAAACUUACCCAGGUGCCUUGACAUCCUCUGGACCACACUCUGGAGACAGAGCUUUCCCUUCGGGACAAAGUUGACAGGUGGUGCAUGGUUGUCGUCCAGGCUCGUGGUCGUGGAGAUGUUGGGUUAGAGUCCCCCCGCGCAAACGAGCGGCAACCCUUGGAUUUUAGUUUGCCAGCAUUGUAGUUGGGGCACUCUAAAGUGACUGCCGGUGCAAGCCGGAGGGGAAGGUGGGGUAUGACGUCAAAUCAUUUCAUGCGCCCUUAUGACGUCUGGGCUACACAGCGUGGCUAACAAUGGAAUAGUACAAAGGGUCGGCGAAAGCGCCACGAGGUUGGAAGCUAAUCCCAUAAAAACCUAUUCUCAGUUCGGAUUGUAGGCUGGCAACUCGGCCUACAUCGAAGCCGCGGAAUCCCGCUAGUAUCGGUGGAUUCAGGCAUGCGCCACGGGUGAAUACGGUUCCCCGGGGCCCUUUGUAGCACACCGCCCGUCCCACAGCCACGAGAGUUUGUAACACCGCGAAGUCCCGGUAGCGGGGUAACGCUUUAUGGAGCCAUCCGCGCGAAGGUGGGACAGAUAAUUGGGUUUGAAGUCGUAACAAGGGUAGCCGUAUCGGAAAGGUGACGGGCUGGAUCAACCUCCUUUCUAAGGAA